UGGGGAAUAUUGGACAAUGGGGGCAACCCUGAUCCAGCCAUGCCGCGUGAGUGAUGAAGGCCUUCGGGUUGUAAAGCUCUUUUGGCGGGGACGAUGAUGACGGUAUCCGCAGAAUAAGCCCCGGCUAACUUCGUGC
Molecule: ribosomal RNA, 136 nt
Filed under: uncultured bacterium
Lineage: Bacteria
Description: partial 16S ribosomal RNA
Rfam family: Bacterial small subunit ribosomal RNA
Source: RNAcentral